GAUGAACGCUAGCGGCAGGCCUAACACAUGCAAGUCGAGGGGCAGCACAUAAAGUGGUUUACUACUUUUGGUGGCGACCGGCGGACGGGUGCGUAACGCGUAUGCAACCUGCCUCCAACAGGGGGAUAACGGAGAGAAAUUUCCACUAAUACCCCAUAAUAUCAGAAUCGGCAUCGGUUUUGGUUGAAAACUCCGGUGGUUGGAGAUGGGCACGCGUUGUAUUAGAUAGUUGGUGAGGUAACGGCUCACCAAGUCAACGAUACAUAGGGGGACUGAGAGGUUAGCCCCCCCACACUGGUACUGAGACACGGACCAGACUCCUACGGGAGGCAGCAGUGAGGAAUAUUGGUCAAUGGGGGCAACCCUGAACCAGCCAUGCCGCGUGCAGGAAGACGGCUCUAUGAGUUGUAAACUGCUUUUACAAGGGGAUAAAUCGGUGUACGUGUACACCGUUGAAGGUACCUUGGGAAUAAGGAUCGGCUAACUCCGUGCCAGCCGCCGCCGUAA
RNAcentral lists this ribosomal RNA (507 nucleotides) under uncultured bacterium. RNAcentral's name for it is "partial 16S ribosomal RNA". It matches the Rfam family "Bacterial small subunit ribosomal RNA", at positions 28 to 523 of the family's 1533-position model. The record is from RNAcentral.